GCCAUGUUUCCUGAACACAAAAUGGCGACACGUGGUUAGCAUUCGUCGCCAACGAGAAAUUGGGGUCGGCCCGAAAGCUCUAGAAUGCACCCCUCUUCCUCCCCGGGGCCUUCCACCUCCGCGAGUUUUAUGACUUAAAAAAGCCCACAGGCUGGUCUGAAGAGGAAGACAAACAUAAAGAUGAAGUGCUUAAUUCAAGGUCACACAAUGUCGGGGAUGGACCUCCAGAUUUCCUUACUGGUGAGACGUGGUCUUGUAACACAGUGGUUAAGAAUGUGACUUUGGAGCCAGCCUGCUAGGGGCUGAAUUCUGACUCAGCCAUUUACUAACUGUGUGACCUUAGGGAGGAGGACCUGGUUGAUAGAAGAAUUUAUCUCGUAGUCUUAACAUCCACUGUAAUUCCAAACUUUGAGGACGAUAGAGAUCAGUGGGCUUUGACUGCCCAGCAUGCAGUCUCCAUUCUUAGGUGGGUUCCCAAGCCUGUAAAAUGUAAGCCUUAUGCUGCUGAGGGCCAUCUUGCCACCCUGAGGGAAACGCUGCCUGAGAAUGAAACAAGCAUAAGUAAAAGCUGAGCUGUGAGAUGGAGCAAGAUGAAGGCCACAUGACAUCUUUGGAGCACCUGGAUCUAACUGUGCCUUAAGCUAGUCUAACCCUGAACAUUUCAUCAUUUCAUUGACAUGAGCCCAGGUUUUCUUUUUUUUUGGAUGGAGUCUUGCUCUGUCGCCCAGGCUGGAGUGCAGUAGCUCAAUCUCGGCUCACUGCAAGCUCCACCUCCCGGGUUCACGCCAUUCUCCUGCCUUAGCCUCCCAAGUAGCUGGGACAACAGGCGCCCACCACCACUCCCAGCUAAUUUUUUGUAUUUUUAGUAGAGACGGGGUUUUACCAUGUUAGCCGGGAUGGUCUUGAUCUCCUGACCUCAUGAUCCGCCCGCCUCGGCCUCCCAAAGUGCUGGGAUUACAGGUGUGAGCCACUGCACCCAGCCCUCAGGUUUUCCCUUUUUUUACCCCUCCUUUUGAAAAUUUGAUGUGGAAUUUUGCCACCUGCAGCCAGAAGAGUUUUAACUAAUCAGUGCCAUAAAUUUUAUAUAGUUCUCCUUGCAAAAUGUGGAUCAGCCUUUCUCAGCAAAUCCUUUGUCAUAAAGUGCUGAAUUGUAAGUUUGUCAUGAGAAUCACAUGAGAUCAUGCAUGUGAAGAACCUGGCAUUAUCCUCCUCAUAGAAAAAAACCAGUAAAUAUUAACUACAGGAAGCAAGGAAGGAGUGGGGUGAGGGGAAGAAGAAGGGGUACUGAUUUAAAAGAACCCUGGAGUCCUAAGGAUAAUCUAGGAACCCUCAGACCCAAUCCGAUACCCCUAUUCUAAAUGCUCCUAGUGCCCUGUACCUUCCCCUCAUAAGCCUUCAUUAUCAUUGUAAUGAUAUGUUUAUGUAAUAUUUUGAUUAAUGUCUCUCCUUCACUGACCUAGCAGUUCUAGCAGGGCAGUGAUUUUGCUGUGUUGCAUCCCCAGCACCUAGUCUGGUAUGUGGCAUUCAGCAUAUGUUUAUUGAAUGAAUGGCCAUGUGGUUAUUCAGAUCCUCCUUGAUUAUUGGGGUUAGGAUUGUGGCAGAAGUGGCAAAAUCAGGGAGAGUAGUCCCUGUCCCCUCUGUAUCUUAUACACUGCCCACACUCCCAACACACAUACACAUACAGAGAAUUUUGUCUCAAUUAGAUAAUUAACUUCUGCUUGGUUGUAAACCAAACCACUGGUUCUUAAACUUUCAUUGGAUCAUUUUAUUGAAGAAUUAAAUAGUGUGGUUCUGGCCUAAUGUCUGGAAAGCCUUGCAGAGGAGUGGAUUAGGUCUUUGUGAUAAACAGGCAGCCUUCCCUGCUCCUGUGUCUUUAUAAAAUCUAUUUAACUGGAGUAGUCCACCCUCCCUCAGGCUCUUACAGGAAUAUGUUGGAGGCUGUAGGAAGGUGGGAAACCGAGAGGGAAAGGACUGGGCCGCUGGAGACUUCACUCAUUCCCUAGCAAGAAACAAAAGCAGUAAAAGGUGGCCCGAGGACAACCUGAAGCUCACUCCUUCAGCACUUUUGGCUGGAGGUCACUUGUUGGAGCCCCACUCAGAGCUCAGCACACCACCCCACCAGCAGCCUCCUCCUCCCAGCUGAGGCUGCAUUUCAUCCCUUCCCCCAGCCUGCUUUCCCUGAGAUAGGGGAGUGUUUCCCAGGGCCCAUGUGACUUCCACUGGCAAGUGACGAUUACCAAUGGUUUACUAGUCAGUGAAACUACCAAAGGCUUUUGUGCUGUAGUAAUCCUUUUCCUGUUUAAAACUCUGGGGAUUUUCUAAUGUUGCCAAUAGUUUUUCAAGUCAGCAAUUACUGUGUGGAUUAUGUAAUGGCUCGGUAUUAAAAAUAGAAAAGACUGGA
Long non-coding RNA from Homo sapiens (human), 2401 nucleotides. Ensembl annotates it as PCBP1 antisense RNA 1. Its record names the gene PCBP1-AS1. NCBI's taxonomy places the organism in Eukaryota, Metazoa, Chordata, Mammalia, Primates, Hominidae. The record is from Ensembl.